CUUGGUCAUUUAGAGGAAGUAAAAGUCGUAACAAGGUUUCCGUAGGUGAACCUGCGGAAGGAUCAUUACAGAAUGAAAAGUGCUUAACUGCAUUUUUUCUUACACAUGUGUUUUUCUUUUUUUGAAAACUUUGCUUUGGUAGGCCUUCUAUAUGGGGCCUGCCAGAGAUUAAACUCAACCAAAUUUUAUUUAAUGUCAACCGAUUAUUUAAUAGUCAAAACUUUCAACAACGGAUCUCUUGGUUCUCGCAUCGAUGAAGAACGCAGCGAAAUGCGAUAAGUAAUAUGAAUUGCAGAUAUUCGCGAAUCAUCGAAUCUUUGAACGCACAUUGCGCCCUUUGGUAUUCCAAAGGGCAUGCCUGUUUGAGCGUCAUUUCUCCCUCAAACCCUCGGGUUUGGUGUUGAGCGAUACGCUGGGUUUGCUUGAAAGAAAGGCGGAGUAUAAACUAAUGGAUAGGUUUUUUCCACUCAUUGGUACAAACUCCAAAACUUCUUCCAAAUUCGACCUCAAAUCAGGUAGGACUACCCGCUGAACUUAAGCAUAUCAAUAAGCGGAGGAA
RNAcentral lists this ribosomal RNA (559 nucleotides) under Lodderomyces parapsilosis. Its description in RNAcentral is "eukaryotic LSU rRNA". The stretch from base 219 to 372 matches the Rfam family "5.8S ribosomal RNA". Lineage: Eukaryota; Fungi; Ascomycota; Pichiomycetes; Serinales; Debaryomycetaceae. The record is from RNAcentral.